This 122-nucleotide small RNA is filed under the name Marmota monax (woodchuck). The record is from RNAcentral. Lineage: Eukaryota; Metazoa; Chordata; Mammalia; Rodentia; Sciuridae.
GCUAGGCUUGGUGGUGCACACCUGUAAUCCCUGUAACUUGGGAGGCUGAGACAGGAGGAUUUGAAGUUCAAGGCCAGCCUGAGCAACUUAGUGAGGUCCUAAGCAACUUGACCCUGUCUCAA